GAUGAACGCUGGCGGCGUGCCUAACACAUGCAAGUAGAACGGUAAGGCCCGGCUUUUGUGUUGUGCUUGAGUUGCGAACGGGUGAGUAACACGUGAGUAACCUGCCCUUGACUUUGGGAUAACUUCAGGAAACUGGAGCUAAUACCGGAUGGGAGCACCUGCUGCAUGGUGAGGGUUGGAAAGUUGCGACGGUUGGGGUUGGACAGGCGGCUUAUCCGUUUGAUGGUGAGGUAGAGGCUUAGCAAGGCCUAGACGAGUAGCCAGCCUGGGAGGGUGACCGGCCCCAUUGUGCCUGAGAUACGACCCAUACUGCUACGGGAGGCAGCAGUGGGAAAUAUUGCACACUACGCGGCGGCCGUAUGCAGCAUCUCCGCGUGCUGGAUCACUGCCUUCGGGUUAUAACCCGCUUUCGCCUGUGACGAAGCGUGAGUGACGGUAAUGUGUAAAGAAGCACCGGCUAACUACGUG
Molecule: ribosomal RNA, 468 nt
Filed under: uncultured bacterium
Lineage: Bacteria
Description: partial 16S ribosomal RNA
Rfam family: Bacterial small subunit ribosomal RNA
Source: RNAcentral